Molecule: transfer RNA, 66 nt
Filed under: Micropotamogale ruwenzorii (Ruwenzori otter shrew)
Lineage: Eukaryota; Metazoa; Chordata; Mammalia; Afrosoricida; Tenrecidae
Description: tRNA-Lys
Rfam family: tRNA
About the family: Transfer RNA (tRNA) molecules are approximately 80 nucleotides in length. Their secondary structure includes four short double-helical elements and three loops (D, anti-codon, and T loops). Further hydrogen bonds mediate the characteristic L-shaped molecular structure. tRNAs have two regions of fundamental functional importance: the anti-codon, which is responsible for specific mRNA codon recognition, and the 3' end, to which the tRNAs corresponding amino acid is attached (by aminoacyl-tRNA synthetases). tRNAs cope with the degeneracy of the genetic code in two manners: having more than one tRNA (with a specific anti-codon) for a particular amino acid; and 'wobble' base-pairing, i.e. permitting non-standard base-pairing at the 3rd anti-codon position.
Source: RNAcentral
CACUGAGAAGCUAAAUUAAGCAUUAACCUUUUAAGUUAAAGAAUGAGAGGUCGCUCUCCUCAAUGG